CCCGUCUCUCUUACCGGCUCCGAGGUCGCCAUCUUGCCUGUAACGCCGUCCUGCUCGGCAGCCGCCCGUGCGUCACUCGAGCACGCACAAAACUACGGAAGCCUGCAGGACCCAAAGAGAUCUGCGGGAGGUGGUAAAUGAGGAUACAUGACGAAAGGAAGUAACGCCUUGCCUCCUUUAGUCCACAGAUGGAAGACCAGGUAUCACGACCAGACUCUAGAAGGACAUCAUAUUCUACACCCUCUUUCAUCCCUUGCCUUACAGCAAAGCAGCCUGUCAUACAUUUCCAACACAUGUCCGAACUGUGGACUUACUACUGUCCCCUUUUGACAGCGAUCUUGUGGAUUAGGAAGCAGUAUAAGUGUGUGGCACUGUGACAUGUGUAAGCAGCUUCCCAGAGGGACCGACGCCUGGCACAGGUCCCACAGCCAUUACCCACAAACCCACAUAUUUGCGGGAGCUGCUCCGGGCUUCAAGAUCAUCCCCACGACAGGUGAUGCAACAGUUCUAGCAAAGAGAAGCUGAGGCAAUAACUAGGCAGCCGAUGUAAUUGCUACAGCUUGGGACAACGGGGGUCAAGUGAGUCGGCUUUCCAGUCAGAAAUUCAGGCCAACUUUACAGUCCUAUACACCUCUGCAACAUUGGCAUCUAUUUAUGAAGGGCUUCGGAGCAACUUCCUUAAUGAAUGAUCAGGUAGUGGAUCCAAGUGCAGGAACAGCAAGUUUAUUUCCAGAAUCAUGGUCUACAGACUGGUAGAGGGUCAAAAACCAGCUAGAAGCAAAGGAAGGCAAACAAAUCCAAAUGGUGACUCAAACCCAUGGACCAAACACAGGUCACAAACACAAUAUGCUCAUGGAAGUAUUACUUACACAAAGAUGUUCUGAGGGCAGAACGAAAAAUUACUGGUUCAGAGUGAUAAUAAUCAGAUAAGGAGGUGGGUUCAAGCAAUUAGAGGUGGUGGGAUCAAGACAUCUGUUUGAUUGGUCCCGCCUCCUCUAGUUGCCUGGACCCACUUCCUGUACAACCUGACUGGUUAUCUCUCUGAACCAAUAAUUUUUUUGUUCUGCCCCCAGGACAUUUUUGUGUAAUUAAAAUUCAGAUGAACAUUCAAUAUAGGGAGCACAGGGGAAAAUAACCAAAUCCAAAGAGCAAGAAAACCAGGAAAGCCAGCAGGAGUCAUAAAAAGCCAAGGGUAGAGUUAGCCAGAUGCUUUUACUCCAUGACAAUUAACCAGGCUGACGAGCUACAGAUAGAGGCACAGGUAGGAAUUCUGAGCCCCCUUACAAAAUGUCACUUUGGGCCACCAUGACCAAUUUUACAUAUAGUUGUACACAUUCAAGGGACCCUGUAAAGUUCUGAGCAACCUGACUCUGCCAGGGUACCCAUGCCCCUACAGGUGGGUCUAGUAUUCAGGAGAGGUGGGACCAGCACUGAGAGAGCGUGGCUGGAUGGGUGCUGAGAUCAAUGUGGCCUUGGCAUCUGCAUUGGGUGGAACACUUUAAAAAUACAUUUAUUUGAUCAACAAAUGUUUACUAAUGGUGGCAGCAUGGUGGUGCAGUGGUUAGCACUGUUGCCUCACACCUCUGGGACCCAGGUUCCAGUCUCCGCCUGGGUCACAUGUGUGUGGAGUUUGCAUGUUCUCCCCAUGUCGUCGUGGGGUUUCCUCCGGGUACUCCGGUUUCCCUCCACAGUCCAAAAACAUGCAGAGGCUAAUUGUACUUGCUAAAUUGCCCAUAGGACUGCAUGGGUGAGUGGGUGUGUGAGUGUGCCCUGCGAUGGGCUGGCCCCCCAUCCUGGGUUGUUCUCUGCCUCGUGCCCAUUGCUUCCAGGAUAGGCUCCGGACCCCCCGCGACCCAGUAGGAUAAGAAGUUUGGAAAAUGGAUGGGAUGGAUGGAUGUUUACUAAUUCUUAAAUUGGUUUUAUUUCCUUUUGAAAUUGGGUUCUUAUACAUCAUAAAUGCAAUAAACACUUCUUACAAAUUUCAUACAUGGUAUGUAAUUUAUACUCUUAGAUAAAGCAGAUAAAUAUAUGAAAUGUGUUAACACAGACUGUUAGAUUUAACAGUUUAUUAAGGGCAGCUGGAAGCAACAGAUGGCUGUUCAUCACUGUGAGAUGCACAGGCUACAUACAUAGACGGCGGGGAGGUGAGGCAGCACCACGAUGCUCAAAACCCAACAUAAAUGUAUUCUGCUUUUGUCAGUAGAGCACAUUUUUCUUCCCUGUACUGAUGACCCAGCUCAUAGUUAUGCCUCAGCAGGGCAGGAAAGUGGUAAGUAUCCAGCCCAACAUGCUGCCACAAUUGCUCCAGAGCCACACCAGCAUAGCAACACUGACCUCAUGGAUCAUAGGGGACACCUAGACCCCAGAACCAUUCCAGCAUAGCAACACUGAUCUCCUGGACCAUAAGGGUCACCUAGGCCCCAGGACCACACCAGCAUAGCAACACUGACCUCCUGGAUCAUACGGGACACAACAGGAAGCAACAGAAUAGCAAUAUUGAGCAAUUAUACAGAACAGAGCAGUAAUUAGAAAGCAUGUGAUCUAGGGCUGAAGAGUAAGGAGCUGUGGCCUGUUA
Molecule: long non-coding RNA, 2575 nt
Organism: Brienomyrus brachyistius
Lineage: Eukaryota; Metazoa; Chordata; Actinopteri; Osteoglossiformes; Mormyridae
Exons: 3
Source: RefSeq, a predicted model, not a curated record